RNAcentral lists this non-coding RNA (30 nucleotides) under Mus musculus (house mouse). Lineage: Eukaryota; Metazoa; Chordata; Mammalia; Rodentia; Muridae. The record is from RNAcentral.
UGUGAAUCUCUUUACUUGAGAUUGGAGGAC